This 454-nucleotide ribosomal RNA is filed under the name uncultured bacterium. RNAcentral describes it as "partial 16S ribosomal RNA". It matches the Rfam family "Bacterial small subunit ribosomal RNA", at positions 28 to 507 of the family's 1533-position model. The record is from RNAcentral.
GAUGAACGCUGACAGAAUGCUUAACACAUGCAAGUCAACUUGAACUUCGGUUUGGGUGGCGGACGGGUGAGUAACGCGUAAAGAACUUGCCUCACAGCUAGGGACAACAUUUGGAAACGAAUGCUAAUACCUGAUAUUAUGAUUAUAUGGCAUCGUAUAAUUAUGAAAGCUAUAUGCGCUGUGAGAGAGCUUUGCGUCCCAUUAGCUAGUUGGAGAGGUAACAGCUCACCAAGGCGAUGAUGGGUAGCCGGCCUGAGAGGGUGAUCGGCCACAAGGGGGCUGAGACACGGCCCUUACUCCUACGGGAGGCAGCAGUGGGGAAUAUUGGACAAUGGACCGAGAGUCUGAUCCAGCAAUUCUGUGUGCACGAUGAAGUUUUUCGGAAUGUAAAGUGCUUUCAGUUGGGAAGAAAAAAAUGACGGUACCAACAGAAGAAGUGAUGGCUAAAUACGUG